UAGAGUUUGAUCCUGGCUCAGGAUGAACGCUAGCUACAGGCUUAACACAUGCAAGUCGAGGGGAAACGGCAUUGAGUGCUCGCACUCUUUGGACGUCGACCGGCGCACGGGUGAGUAACGCGUAUCCAACCUUCCCAUUACUGUGGGAUAACCUGCCGAAAGGCAGACUAAUACCGCAUAGUCUUCGAUGACGGCAUCAGAUUUGAAGUAAAGAUUUAUCGGUAAUGGAUGGGGAUGCGUCUGAUUAGCUUGUUGGCGGGGUAACGGCCCACCAAGGCGACGAUCAGUAGGGGUUCUGAGAGGAAGGUCCCCCACAUUGGAACUGAGACACGGUCCAAACUCCUACGGGAGGCAGCAGUGAGGAAUAUUGGUCAAUGGACGGAAGUCUGAACCAGCCAAGUAGCGUGCAGGAUGACGGCCCUAUGGGUUGUAAACUGCUUUUGUAUGGGGAUAAAGUUAGGGACGUGUCCCUAUUUGCAGGUACCAUACGAAUAAGGACCGGCUAAUUCCGUGCCAGCAGCCGCGGUAAUACGGAAGGUCCAGGCGUUAUCCGGAUUUAUUGGGUUUAAAGGGAGCGUAGGCUGGAGAUUAAGUGUGUUGUGAAAUGUAGACGCUCAACGUCUGACUUGCAGCGCAUACUGGUUUCCUUGAGUACGCACAACGUUGGCGGAAUUCGUCGUGUAGCGGUGAAAUGCUUAGAUAUGACGAAGAACUCCGAUUGCGAAGGCAGCUGACGGGAGCGCAACUGACGCUUAAGCUCGAAGGUGCGGGUAUCAAACAGGAUUAGAUCCCCUGGUAGUCCGCACAG
RNAcentral lists this ribosomal RNA (808 nucleotides) under uncultured bacterium. RNAcentral's name for it is "bacterial SSU rRNA". It matches the Rfam family "Bacterial small subunit ribosomal RNA", at positions 1 to 802 of the family's 1533-position model. The record is from RNAcentral.